UCUCAACUGGUGCUGGUGGUCACAGCUCCCUCACCUGACUCCGUUUUAACUCACAAAUGACUCAGGCCCUGCUGCUCGGCAGCAGCCAAGAGAAAAUGGGAUUUCUCAGAGCUCCCAGUGUCUGGAGCCAUGCUGGAGAUGUGGGGCAUCAGGCACCUUCCACCUGAGCCCAUGCAAAGCCACAUGAUGGCCACGGCAUCUCCGCAGCUCGGCCGUGAGGGUGCUGGCAGCCUGCAGCUGCCAGCUCGGAGCAACUCCCUCUUCUCCCCGAGAAGCAGAGCACGAAGCAGGACGGCAUUGUAUCGUCGAGCCCUGGCAGUUGUAAUUCAGCAAUUCAGCUCACCCUGUGCCGUAAUCUCAGGGCCUAUUAAAACGGGGCAGCAAGCUGGGAGAGGCUGUUGGGAAGAGCUGUAAAAUGGCAGCAUAUUUUAUGCUGUCCUUGGCUGUGAGUCAUGGAGAUCUCCGUCUGCUGAGGGUAAUGAGCAUUUGUAUUCAGAUGGCUUCUCAAGCUGCGUGUUGUUGAAUGCUGGGGAAGAAAAAGUGUUUACUGUUGUUUUACCAGGCAGGGACAAAGUGCAAGGUGCUUUAUCGAGCUGCUUUCUGAAAGCUGUUCUCAGGGAUAGGGUUGGGCUCUUUCUCUGCUCUCUCCUUGUGCAGAGACAGCCGGGGUUUUAGGUGCUUCCUUUCACCCCCUGUUGGUGCGAGACAAAAUCAGUCUCUGCACAGACUCAGCAGAAGGCCUGCUUGUGGCUGGGCAGGAGGCAUCCUACCUGCUGGCCUUCGCUGCCUGGAUGCUGCUGGUGUCUGGUAGAUAGGACUAACACCACCUGCCUGCAAGAGUUCUUUGUUAUCGUCACUGGUUUGGUGUUUAUUUAACUGGAAAAUAGAAAUUUCCUGUAACUGGGAGAAGAUGCCUUGCCCAAAGCUAACUGGCCCAUCAGUGGCAGGGCCUAGCCAUCCUGUCUUCUGGGGACAAAAGGAAAAGGGCCGCAUGAACAGUGCUGCACA
Molecule: long non-coding RNA, 1008 nt
Organism: Oxyura jamaicensis (ruddy duck)
Lineage: Eukaryota; Metazoa; Chordata; Aves; Anseriformes; Anatidae
Exons: 3
Source: RefSeq, a predicted model, not a curated record